AUUUGUCUGGUUAAUUCCGAUAACGAACGAGACCUUAACCUGCUAACUAGUUCUCAAUACUCUGUAUUCUGCAACUUCUUAGAGGGACUAUGUAAAUCAAUUACAUGGAAGUUUGAGGCAAUAACAGGUCAGUGAUGCCCUUAUAUGUCCUGGGCUGCACGCGUGCUACACUGAUGCAUACAACAAGUGCCUAGCCAGACAUGGUAUGGCAAUCUCGAAUAUGCAUCGUGAUGGGGAUAGAUCUUUGCAAUUAUAGAUCUUGAACGAGGAAUUCCUAGUAAGUGCAAGUCAUCAUCUUGCAUUGACUAUGUCCCUGCCCUUUGUACACACCGCCCGUCGCUCCUACCGAUACCGGGUGAUCCGGUGAACCUUUUGGACUCCGUACGGGGAAAGAUAAGUAAACCAUAUCACCUAGAGGAAGGAGAAGUCGUAACAAGGUUUCCGUAGGUGAACCUGCRGAAGGAUCA
RNAcentral lists this ribosomal RNA (467 nucleotides) under uncultured ciliate. RNAcentral describes it as "SSU rRNA". It matches the Rfam family "Eukaryotic small subunit ribosomal RNA". Lineage: Eukaryota; Ciliophora. The record is from RNAcentral.